GACGGUAUAGCUCAGUGGUAGAGCGCGUGCUUAGCAUGCACGACAUCCUGGGUCCGAUCCCUGGUACCUCCA
RNAcentral lists this transfer RNA (72 nucleotides) under Camelus bactrianus (Bactrian camel). It matches the Rfam family "tRNA". Rfam says of the family: Transfer RNA (tRNA) molecules are approximately 80 nucleotides in length. Their secondary structure includes four short double-helical elements and three loops (D, anti-codon, and T loops). The record is from Rfam by way of RNAcentral. Lineage: Eukaryota; Metazoa; Chordata; Mammalia; Artiodactyla; Camelidae. RNAcentral also lists the same sequence under 1 other name.